CCUACGGGAGGCAGCAGUGGGGAAUAUUGCACAAUGGGGGAAACCCUGAUGCAGCGACGCCGCGUGAGUGAAGAAGUAUUUCGGUAUGUAAAGCUCUAUCAGCAGGGAAGAAAAUGACGGUACCUGACUAAGAAGCCCCGGCUAACUACGUGCCAGCAGCCGCGGUAAUACGUAGGGGGCAAGCGUUAUCCGGAUUUACUGGGUGUAAAGGGAGCGUAGACGGCUGCGCAAGUCAGGAGUGAAAUCCCAGGGCUUAACCAUGGAACUGCUUUUGAAACUGUGCAGCUAGAGUGCAGGAGAGGUAAGCGGAAUUCCUAGUGUAGCGGUGAAAUGCGUAGAUAUUAGGAGGAACACCAGUGGCGAAGGCGGCUUACUGGACUGUAACUGACGUUGAGGCUCGAAAGCGUGGGGAGCAAACAGGAUUAGAUACCCCAGUAGUC
This 440-nucleotide ribosomal RNA is filed under the name uncultured bacterium. Its description in RNAcentral is "partial 16S ribosomal RNA". It matches the Rfam family "Bacterial small subunit ribosomal RNA", at positions 338 to 795 of the family's 1533-position model. The record is from RNAcentral.